UACGGGGGGGGCAAGCGUUGUUCGGAAUUACUGGGCGUAAAGGGCUCGUAGGCGGCCAACUAAGUCGGACGUGAAAUCCCUCGGCUUAACCGGGGAACUGCGUCCGAUACUGGAUGGCUUGAGUUCGGGAGAGGGAUGCGGAAUUCCAGGUGUAGCGGUGAAAUGCGUAGAUAUCUGGAGGAACACCGGUGGCGAAGGCGGCAUCCUGGACCGACACUGACGCUGAGGAGCGAAAGCUAGGGGAGCAAACGGG
This 253-nucleotide ribosomal RNA is filed under the name uncultured bacterium. Its description in RNAcentral is "partial 16S ribosomal RNA". It matches the Rfam family "Bacterial small subunit ribosomal RNA", at positions 524 to 776 of the family's 1533-position model. The record is from RNAcentral.